AGCGAGGGGAAAAAGAGUUAUUACUCAGUUCUUUAUUCUAGAAUAAAUCAAAUCAACAAAUAUUUAUUGAAUGUCUACUAUAUGCAAAUACUAGCCAGCUUUUAAAAGCCAUCCAACUUUUCACAUUGAAAAAUCAAAGCAUUAUCAUUUCAAGCACUGCAGAAGCUGCUCCGUGUCCUGUAGGUGGGAGAGCCUGUGGGGACCCUACAGUUACGUGGGAUAAAAGAAGACAAGGAAGAGAAAGUUCACUCACAGGCUGGAAGAAGAAAAAGAAUAACCUAACAUAGCCCCACCGAUGGAUUGCAUCAAUGAAGUUAGAAACAAGGUCACCAGCCAGGUUUGGGAGAAAGGAGAUGAAAGAGCCUGGAGGUGUGAGUCAUCUGUUGAGAAGUUGUCUGGUGAAUCAACAAAAGAUGCUAUUUUCUAUAAAGUCCUCCAUUUUAUUUUUUUUUAAAUGCAACUGUUGCUGUAUACAGUGGAUUUGUGGAGGAUUUAGUGGUUGAACACUGGCUACUACGCCACCCUUCCUGUUGCUGAAGACACGGCUAAAACAAAAAGGGCUAUGUUUUACUCUAUUAAAGGUAAUUAUUAAAACACAGAUUAUUCCACAAACAGUAUUGUCUGGUAAUAGUUGCAAGCCUCCAUUAAAAUAUGACCUCAAAAAAUGCAGCCCUUGUUUUAUUUAAGGAGGCUAU
Long non-coding RNA from Pipistrellus kuhlii (Kuhl's pipistrelle), 695 nucleotides. RefSeq lists it as uncharacterized. The transcript is spliced from 3 exons. Lineage: Eukaryota; Metazoa; Chordata; Mammalia; Chiroptera; Vespertilionidae. The record is from RefSeq and is a predicted model, not a curated record.